This 169-nucleotide non-coding RNA is filed under the name Marmota monax (woodchuck). It matches the Rfam family "Interferon gamma 5' UTR regulatory element". From Rfam's summary of the family: This family represents a pseudoknot containing stem-loop structure found in the 5' UTR of interferon (IFN) gamma mRNA. This structure is thought to be involved in translational regulation and the pseudoknot has been found to activate PKR which is known to be a translational inhibitor. Lineage: Eukaryota; Metazoa; Chordata; Mammalia; Rodentia; Sciuridae. The record is from RNAcentral.
UAUUGUUCUGAUCAUCUCAGGUCAGCUAUUAGUAAAGAAAGACCAGCCAGGUCCUUUGGAGCUGAUCAGAUUAAUAUAGAAGCUACUGAUUCCAACAUCCUCAACCUAACUCUCUUCUGAAACAAUGAAGUGUACAAAUUCCAUCUUGGCUUUUCAGCUCUACAUCAUU